AAGUGCUUGGGUUUGCGAGUAAAUCAUGUAGUUUUUGGUGAUAUAAGGAAAAUAUUGGAAGUGUUAUUUUAAUUGCAGAAAUAUUAUUUUGCCUUCAUGGCAAGCAUGAAAUGUUUUGGUACAAAUGAUACUCUAUUGAAAUUUUGAUAAUUAUUAAGAUUUUAAAUUAUUGUAUAUAAUUAAUUUUCACAUUUAUUGUUAUAUGUAUCAAUAUUUAUAUUUCAUUUUCAAAGUUAAUGUAAGAGUGAUAUGAUUCAAUGUAAUAUU
Molecule: unclassified non-coding RNA, 267 nt
Filed under: Hevea brasiliensis (rubber tree)
Lineage: Eukaryota; Viridiplantae; Streptophyta; Magnoliopsida; Malpighiales; Euphorbiaceae
Source: RNAcentral